GUAGUUCCCAGGCCGGUGUUCCCGUAUGGUAAGGUCUCACUCUGUCAUGCAUGAUGGACUGCAGUGGUGCAAUCAUGGCUCACUGUAGCUUCGACCACCCUGGCUCCGGUCAUCAUCCUACCUCAGCCUCCCAGGUAUGUGGGAUUACAGGUAUGUGCUAACAUGCUCAGCUAAUUUUUAAUUUUUUGUGGAAACAGGAUUUUGCCAUGUUGCUCAAGAUGAUCUCAAACUCCUGGCCUCAGGCAAUCCUUCUGCCUCAGCCUCCCAUCCUUCCCCCACAUACUGAGGCAAAGAUACAGGUGUGAACCACUGAAACUAUCAAAAGGGAAAAUUACAACACCUUUACUUAUACAGAUAAUUGGCUUUUAUUUGCAAGUCAUGAAGGAGCAUCCUCCAUUCUACAAAAUGGAGUGAUAGAUCCCACUGGCAAGUAGUAGAACGGUGGAUUUUGUAUGGUGAGAGCAAAGAUAUGAAACAACAGAAAAAUGACUAGUUGACAUGAGGUUACUUUUUUGAAAGGGAUAAAGCAGAGUAUGGUUCGUUAUUGCACUGAAUUGGGUAGACUGUAAUCUCUUGUUUUCAGAAAAAAAAGAUGGCUUUCAGGAUCUAUCUCUUUCCCUCAUAUUUCAGAUUAAUUUACCUGAUAUUAUGUGAAACUUAGCAUGAGUGACUCCAUUUUAGUUUGACCUGGUCUGUUGCUGCCUAAUUUUGGAGCUCAAUACAAAACCAUGGCCCCAUCAUUUUUGUUUGGCAGCACUGAAAACUAAAAU
Molecule: long non-coding RNA, 770 nt
Filed under: Homo sapiens (human)
Lineage: Eukaryota; Metazoa; Chordata; Mammalia; Primates; Hominidae
Description: HSALNT0409481
Source: RNAcentral